This is a long non-coding RNA of Helianthus annuus (common sunflower), 444 nucleotides long. RefSeq lists it as uncharacterized. The record is from RefSeq and is a predicted model, not a curated record. Lineage: Eukaryota; Viridiplantae; Streptophyta; Magnoliopsida; Asterales; Asteraceae. The transcript is spliced from 4 exons.
ACACUAAUGUUUAACUUUGAUUUGUUCAUGUUGAUGAUGCAGAAAAAUUGAUAGGUGGGUGUUCCCAACACUAUUCAGUUUUAGUACAAGAAGAUUAAUAAGUAAGAUAGUUGUUGACGGCGAGGUUCCUGCCCUCGAUUAUGACCAUACGGGCCAAUUUAUUUUCUGCGGAAAUAUUGUUUAUGUUGAGACUCAAAGUCAUAAUGAGCGGUCUGAAAUCGCGUUUGUGACAUUCACGGAUAGUCAAGGAGCUGAGACCGAUGUUCUUCUUUCGGUUUUAAUUAAUAGACGUCGUUUCAUAUCAUCUUAAUGGCAUUUGAUAAUGAAUCAUUGUCGAAGAACCCAAGAAUCCGAAGUGACUAUGCACUUUAUUAUUCAGAUGUAUGGAAUUAAGGAUCUAAUUCUACUCGGAUAUCGGGGGGAAUGUCGUAAGUUUUAAUGUUU